GGGCCUGUGGUGUAACGGAGCACAGCACCCCGUCACGGUCGCUGGUGCGGGUUCGAUUCCCGUCAGGUCCA
Molecule: transfer RNA, 71 nt
Filed under: Acidobacteriota bacterium
Lineage: Bacteria; Pseudomonadati; Acidobacteriota
Description: tRNA-Asp
Rfam family: tRNA
About the family: Transfer RNA (tRNA) molecules are approximately 80 nucleotides in length. Their secondary structure includes four short double-helical elements and three loops (D, anti-codon, and T loops).
Source: RNAcentral